CUCGAUUACUUUCCUCGGUUCCUCGAUUACGUUUUUUGUUGCCACCGAUCACAGAAAGUUUAUAAUGUUCAAAGCAUAUAAGCAUUUUAUGAGCAAGCCAGAAAAUGACAAACUGUCUGUGUUUCAAAAAAUUGUGUUUAACAAUGACGAUUCGGUUUGGACAUACAUUUUCUCUGUUUGGCAAUGGCUGACUCUUAAACUACAGAAC
Paramuricea clavata is the source of this 208-nucleotide non-coding RNA. The record is from the annotation of a GenBank genome assembly. NCBI's taxonomy places the organism in Eukaryota, Metazoa, Cnidaria, Anthozoa, Malacalcyonacea, Plexauridae.